GUCCACGCUGUAAACUAUGCUUGCUAGCUGUUAUGAGUAUCGACCCUCGUAGUAGCGAAGCUAACGCGUUAAGCAAGCCGCCUGGGGAGUACGGUCGCAAGAUUAAAACUCAAAGGAAUUGACGGGGACCCCGCACAAGCGGUGGAGCGUGUUGUUUAAUUCGAUGGUAAGCGAAGAACCUUACCAAGGUUUGACAUCUCUGGAAUCUCUCCGAAAGGAGAAAGUGCCUUCGGGAACCAGAUGACAGGUGAUGCAUGGCCGUCGU
RNAcentral lists this ribosomal RNA (265 nucleotides) under uncultured bacterium. RNAcentral describes it as "partial 16S ribosomal RNA". It matches the Rfam family "Bacterial small subunit ribosomal RNA", at positions 793 to 1055 of the family's 1533-position model. The record is from RNAcentral.